RNAcentral lists this ribosomal RNA (497 nucleotides) under uncultured bacterium. RNAcentral describes it as "partial 16S ribosomal RNA". It matches the Rfam family "Bacterial small subunit ribosomal RNA", at positions 28 to 507 of the family's 1533-position model. The record is from RNAcentral.
GAUGAACGCUGGCGGCGUGCCUAAUACAUGCAAGUCGAGCGAACAGAUGAGGAGCUUGCUCCUCUGACGUUAGCGGCGGACGGGUGAGUAACACGUGGAUAACCUCCCUAUCAGACUGGGAUCACUUCGGGAAACCGGCGCUAAUACCGGAUAAUCUAUUGAACCGCAUGGUUCAAUAGUAAAAGACGGCUUUGCUGUCACUUAUAGAUGGAUCCGCGCCGCAUUAGCUAGUUGGUAAGGUAACGGCUUACCAAGGAAACGAUGCGUAGCCGACCUGAGAGGGUGAUCGGCCACACUGGAACUGAAACGCGGUCCAGACUCCUACGGGAGGCAGCAGUAGGGAAUCUUCCGCAAAGGGCGAAAGCCUUACGGAGCAACGCCGCGUGAGUUAUGAAGGUCUUCGGAUCGUAAAACUCUGUUAUGAGGGAAGAACAAAUGUGUAAGUAACUAUGCACGUCUUGACGGUACCUAAUCAGAAAGCCACGGCUAACUACGUG